GGGCCCGCACAAGCGGUGGAGCAUGUGGUUUAAUUCGAUGAUACGCGAGGAACCUUACCAGGACUUAAAUGUAAGUUGCAUGAUUCAGAAAUGGAUCUUUCUUCGGACUACUUACAAGGUGCUGCAUGGUUGUCGUCAGCUCGUGCCGUGAGGUGUCAGGUUAAGUCCUAUAACGAGCGCAACCCCUAUCGUUAGUUGCCAUCAAGUAAAGUUGGGAACUCUAGCGAAACUGCCGGUGCAAACCGUGAGGAAGGUGGGGAUGACGUCAAAUCAUCACGGCCCUUACGUCCUGGGCCACACACGUGCUACAAUGGUCAGUACAGAAAGCAGCCACUAUGCGAAUAGGAG
This 348-nucleotide ribosomal RNA is filed under the name uncultured bacterium. Its description in RNAcentral is "bacterial SSU rRNA". It matches the Rfam family "Bacterial small subunit ribosomal RNA", at positions 917 to 1267 of the family's 1533-position model. The record is from RNAcentral.